This 253-nucleotide ribosomal RNA is filed under the name uncultured bacterium. RNAcentral's name for it is "partial 16S ribosomal RNA". It matches the Rfam family "Bacterial small subunit ribosomal RNA", at positions 524 to 776 of the family's 1533-position model. The record is from RNAcentral.
AACGUAGGUGGCAAGCGUUAUCCGGAUUUACUGGGCGUAAAGCGUGUGCAGGCGGGGGGGCACGUGGGGUGUGAAAUCGCCAGGCUAAACCUGGCGGGGUUAUGCCAGACUGUCCGUCUGGAGUGCGAGAGAGGGGCGUGGAAUUCCGGGUGUAGUGGUGAAAUGCGUAGAGAUCCGGAGGAACCCCAGAGGCGAAGGCGGCGCCCUGGCUCGCAACUGACGCUCAGACACGACAGCAUGGGGAGCGAACGGG